ACUUCUGAUGCUUCAUCAUUAACUAAACACUUCCAGGAGUUACACACAACCUCGGUCCAGAAACACUGUGUAUGUGUGUGUGUGUGUGUGUGUGUGUGUUCUGGUAUUCAUCACGUUGUGGGGACAUGAAUCUGUUUACACAGUCACGUCAUGGGGACCUCUUGCGUUGUGGGGACCAAAAGUCAGGUCCCCAUAAGGGAAAGCCAUAUAAAUGAUUAGAGGAGCUGUUUUGAAGGUGAUGGGCGGAGUUUCAGCGAUGGCCCAUAACACACGUUUAUCCGUGAAUGUGUGAGUGUGAAGGGAGUGCUCAGCUGCGCCCCCAAACAUUUCUCAGCGGUACUGCGCGCGCUUCUUCACACACACGUUAUCUAUAUAUGGUAGGCCCCGCCCACUUCCUCGUCCUCAUUAGGAACGAUAUCAGCAGCAAUAUGAAAAUAUGCGUAUUAAGUGGACACUUCACACGGACAGACGAUAAGAAGACUUUACAGGAGAUACCGACUCGAGGAGAUUGUUUGAGAUUCGAGGAGAUUCUGAAGUUGUGCAGAGCAAAAAGUUAAAUAAAAGAUUGAAAUGCCACCACGAAUCAGCCCUCUUAAGGAUGCCAUGCAUCAUGUUGUCACGAAGUCUGACAAAACUAAAUUAGAGGUGAACUACAUCAAUGCGGUGAAAGGACGUGGAUUAUUUGCAAAAGGUUCCUUUUGCAAAGGAGAUUUUAUUGUGGAGUACAGGGGUGAGUUGAUCAAUUAUGCAGAGCUGGAGAGGAGAAGAAAACUCUACCACCCAUCCUGUGCUGUUUUUAUGUUCGAGUUUAAGUGGAGAGGGAAAACAUGGUGGUAAGAAGUCACAUUGCACCAAAGCUAUAUUCCUUUUGCUAAAAUAAGGCCACAUUUACACUACAGGUCUUCAUGACCAAUUCUGAUUUUGUGAAUGUAUCCUUUUUUUGACAACGUGCUUAGAUUUUUUUUUUUUAAGAGUGACACUUAUCCAGUGUGUGCAUUUUAAACGGCAUUUGGUGACAAUCUAAAAAAAAAAACUGUUACAGUUUCAAUUUCAAUAGUACAUUCAUUGUCUUAUGAAACUAGUUUGACCAGUUAACAGUUGGCUAAGGGGUAAUUAGUCCUGAAUUAGGCCUGAAACUGAUCUGAUAAUAUCUGAAUCCAUGCUCUUCAUUUUCCUUAUUAAACGCUGGUGACUCUUAUCUGAUCUGUGCCACAUGGGAUGAAGAAAACUGGAAUUGGGUCAAUUGAACCAUGCAGUGUAAAUGCAGCCUAAGACACUGAUUUGUGUUGAUGCAUUAUAACACUUGUAUUUAUCCUUUUCCCUUUUUU
Molecule: long non-coding RNA, 1328 nt
Organism: Carassius auratus (goldfish)
Lineage: Eukaryota; Metazoa; Chordata; Actinopteri; Cypriniformes; Cyprinidae
Exons: 3
Source: RefSeq, a predicted model, not a curated record